GCGCAUCACAGAUGAUUGUAGCAAUUACUUUUUACAACCUAGCAGCUAGUACUUUUGCAAUAAUCUUGUACAGGAUAGAGCAACACGCAAUGGGUAUAAACUCCUUUACUAUAACUAGGCACAUUGUUUUGGGGACAAGAGUAAUUAAAGUACAAUUAAUAGCUCUGUGUAGCUUCCCUGUUAUGAAAAAAUCCUUGAUACCUUCAAUGAGGUCAUAUUGUAUGUUAGACUAGGCUUUUUUUUAUUGUAAAAAUGAGCAUUGUAAAACAUCUACCUCGGGGCUUUUUCAUCGUCUAAUGAGUGUAAAGCAUUAACUAUCUCCUUGUUUGUUACCUCUUUGCACAGUUCGAUCCCUUGAGAAUAACUGAGGAUCUGUCCAUUUCUCAUCGUUGUCAAGCUUACUGUUGGCAGAUUGUGACUUGUAGAUCCCAUCAAAGUUUAUAAAAACCUAUCACUUAUUCUUGUACAACAUCAGGUGUAGACAGUUUAUCUCCAUUCAGGGAAGUUAGCUCUAAGAUUUGCUUCUUGCAUAUUCUCUAUUUUAGCAGAGCAGAAAAGUAUUUACUAUUAGAAUCCCCCAACUUGAUCCAUUGAGCUCUAGCUUUUUGCCUGAGGAUAUUUUCUUCAAUUAAUGACCAUUUCUCCAAAUCAUGGAUACAUUAUUUCUUCUUCAACUGUAAAGCUUUUAUAAAGUGCCUCUGAAUUUCCUCCUAUGUGAGCAUCAGUUCAGUUUUGAUUUGGACAAUCUUUCGUGUGAUAUUCUUGAACUCAAAUAUAUAAAGAUUCUUCAGUGCCGGUCUUAAUGCUUUUAGCUUAAUCCACAUACUUGCCAAUAUACCUCUUUUUGGUUGGAUGCCCAUACUGUUCCACUAUACUCUGAAAUAAAGAAUGGUCAGCUCACACAUUAUAAUAUUUAAAAAGAGAUAUGAUGCUCCACUGAGUGUGUUGGAGUGUCACCAACAUAGGAGAGUG
Molecule: long non-coding RNA, 972 nt
Filed under: Capsicum annuum
Lineage: Eukaryota; Viridiplantae; Streptophyta; Magnoliopsida; Solanales; Solanaceae
Description: long non-coding RNA (CANN_LNC008671)
Source: RNAcentral